CGUGGGGAUUAUGGGAACUACAGGAAGAGAUUUGGGUGGGACACAGCCAAACCAUAUCAGUGACUUUACCUUUUCCCCUCUGAUUUUUGUUCCUGUUUUAUUUUUAGUCCAUUACUAAUUGUGCUUACCUGGGAGCAGCUUAACUUAGCUCAUUUUCUGAAAAUUCUGGAGACCUAGAAAUGGCCUUGUGGCCUCUUCCUCACCUGAAAGGCACCUACUAAAGCUCAAAGAUGGCUCUGCCUUGGAUGUCCAAAAUUUCUGCUUUUGACUAUAGUGAAGAUGAGACUGGUGAGCUGCUGGAGCUACGGUAGUGACAUGGAAGCCCUGAUCCCACCUUUAAGGAACCUGUGGUUUAGGCGGGAACAUGAGGCAACUUCAUGCAAACUGCAGCAAGUGAAGAGUCUCAGCUGAGCAGAGACCUGGAGAGUCUGGGUGAAGGGAACAUUCUCUGGCACCUGAAGAAGGCUUAGCCAGACCUACAUUUUAGCAGGUGGAGAAGGAGUUAAAAAAAUCCAAGCAGGAGCCCUAAGGGAGCUCACAGUAGGAAAGCCAUGGGUGUUAAAGCCUCCAGCAGCAGUUGGCUACAGGCCUUUUGCAUAUCGAGCCAAUUGAUAAAAUGGGGAAUUAAUGCCACAGCCAGUUAUUCAAGCACUAGAACAAGAAGACGUGGAAGGGCAAGUGGGCCCCACUCCCAGCUGGGGGCUGCAGAUCUCUCUUAGGUAAGCAGUACAACCUGAGAAAAGAGGACAACCCUCUGGGAUCUUUGGCACCGUGACGCUGCCAUAUUCCAGGAGAGGACAGGUGAGGGUUCGCUGUGGCUGAAUCGGAAGGAGACAGAAGAAGCAGGGACGAGCCACCGGGCAGGCCUCAGGACAGGCUUAGGUUCUGAACUUGAUCCCAUGGACUGGUGUUACCCAGAGUGAAGAAAACUGUCUUUCCUCCUUUAAUACCUAUAUAUUUUAUUUUAGCACGUAUUGGGGAAAAAAUAAUAGUUGCAUU
Molecule: long non-coding RNA, 999 nt
Filed under: Homo sapiens (human)
Lineage: Eukaryota; Metazoa; Chordata; Mammalia; Primates; Hominidae
Description: HSALNT0307131
Source: RNAcentral